GACGUAGGGUGCGAGCGUUGUCCGGAUUUAUUGGGCGUAAAGAGCUCGUAGGCGGCUUGUCGCGUCGACUGUGAAAACCCGCAGCUCAACUGCGGGCCUGCAGUCGAUACGGGCAGGCUAGAGUUCGGUAGGGGAGACUGGAAUUCCUGGUGUAGCGGUGAAAUGCGCAGAUAUCAGGAGGAACACCGGUGGCGAAGGCGGGUCUCUGGGCAAUAACUGACGCUGAGGAGCGAAAGCGUGGGGAGCGAACAGG
RNAcentral lists this ribosomal RNA (253 nucleotides) under uncultured bacterium. RNAcentral's name for it is "partial 16S ribosomal RNA". It matches the Rfam family "Bacterial small subunit ribosomal RNA", at positions 524 to 776 of the family's 1533-position model. The record is from RNAcentral.